Mercenaria mercenaria is the source of this 353-nucleotide long non-coding RNA. RefSeq lists it as uncharacterized. Lineage: Eukaryota; Metazoa; Mollusca; Bivalvia; Venerida; Veneridae. The transcript is spliced from 3 exons. The record is from RefSeq and is a predicted model, not a curated record.
UGGUGACAAUGGUCCGAUUCAGCUGCAGAGAUCUCUCCUUAACAUGUCUCCUACUCUAGUAGUUAUACUCACCAAGCAGUCAUGAUGUUUACAUCUUUAUCACACGUGACCUUGCUAUGCCUGUGUUUACCAGUAACGCAUGAUACCUGGUGACGAUCAACGAGGAUGAAGAAAUCAAUAACAGUAUCAUCAAGGUUACUGCUACACGACAUGGACUUAUUGAUUACAUUUCUGUGCGGAAGGAUAAAAAAACUACACCAGACUGGUGGCCAUGACAGAUGUCAGUGGGAAAUUUAAACAUGGACUAGAUACUUGAUGUGUAGCAAAACAGUUCAUCGUUGAUGGUGGUGUUU